This 73-nucleotide transfer RNA is filed under the name Caldithrix sp. RBG_13_44_9. RNAcentral's name for it is "tRNA-Thr". It matches the Rfam family "tRNA". From Rfam's summary of the family: Transfer RNA (tRNA) molecules are approximately 80 nucleotides in length. The record is from RNAcentral. RNAcentral also lists the same sequence under 1 other name. Lineage: Bacteria; Pseudomonadati; Calditrichota; Calditrichia; Calditrichales; Calditrichaceae.
GCCCAAGUAGCUCAGUCGGUAGAGCGCAUCCUUGGUAAGGAUGAGGUCACCGGUUCAACCCCGGUCUUGGGCU